This 63-nucleotide transfer RNA is filed under the name Manacus vitellinus (golden-collared manakin). It matches the Rfam family "tRNA", at positions 6 to 65 of the family's 71-position model. From Rfam's summary of the family: Transfer RNA (tRNA) molecules are approximately 80 nucleotides in length. Their secondary structure includes four short double-helical elements and three loops (D, anti-codon, and T loops). The record is from Rfam by way of RNAcentral. Lineage: Eukaryota; Metazoa; Chordata; Aves; Passeriformes; Pipridae.
AUUAGUUCAGUGUGUUAGAACAUGGUGCUAAUAACACUGAGGUUGUGGGUUUGAUCCCCAUAU